RNAcentral lists this ribosomal RNA (864 nucleotides) under uncultured Methanocella sp. RNAcentral's name for it is "bacterial SSU rRNA". It matches the Rfam family "Archaeal small subunit ribosomal RNA", at positions 1 to 872 of the family's 1478-position model. The record is from RNAcentral. Lineage: Archaea; Methanobacteriati; Methanobacteriota; Methanomicrobia; Methanocellales; Methanocellaceae.
UUCCGGUUGAUCCUGCCAGAGGUCACUGCUAUCGGUGUCCGAUUAAGCCAUGCGAGUCGAGAGGUGUAAGACCUCGGCAGACUGCUCAGUAACACGUGGAUAACCUGCCCAAGGGUCCGGGAUAACCCCGGGAAGCUGGGGAUAAUACCGGAUGGGUCACCAGUGCUGGAAUGCUUGGUGGUCGAAAGGUGACGCCUUUGGAUGGGUCUGCGGCGGAUUAGGUUGACGCCGGUGUAACGUACCGGCGUGCCUGUAAUCCGUACGGGUUGUGGGAGCAAGAGCCCGGAGAUGGAUUCUGAGACACGAAUCCAGGCCCUACGGGGCACAGCAGGCGCGAAAACUCUACAAUGCAGGCAACUGCGAUAGGGGGACAUCGAGUGGCAUCCACCUUGGGUGUCUGUCCAACCGUCUAAAAAACGGUUGUUAGCAAGGGCCGGGCAAGACCGGUGCCAGCCGCCGCGGUAAUACCGGCGGCUCGAGUGGUGGCCGAUAUUAUUGAGUCUAAAGGGUCCGUAGCCGGCUUUGCAAGUCCCCUGGGAAAUCCGGCGGCUUAACCGUUGGGCUUUCAUGGGAUACUACAUUGCUUGGGACUGGGAGAGGUAGGAGGUACUCGGGGGGUAGGGGUGAAAUCCUGUAAUCCUCCGGGGACCACCGGUGGCGAAGGCGUCCUGCCAGAGCAGGUCCGACGGUGAGGGACGAAAGCUAGGGGCACGAACCGGAUUAGAUACCCGGGUAGUCCUAGCCGUAAACGAUGCCCGCUAGGUGUCACGACGGUCGUGAAUCGUCGUGGUGCCGUAGGGAAGCCGCGAAGCGGGCCACUUGGGAAGUACGGCCGCAAGGCUGAAACUUAAAGGAAUUGGCGGG